Molecule: ribosomal RNA, 238 nt
Filed under: uncultured bacterium
Lineage: Bacteria
Description: partial 16S ribosomal RNA
Rfam family: Bacterial small subunit ribosomal RNA
Source: RNAcentral
ACGGGUGAGUAAUACGUAAACAAUCUGCCCUCGAAUGGGAGACAACCGGGCGAAAGUCUGGCUAAUACCCCAUACAAUCCACUUGGAGCAUUCCUAGUGGAUGAAAGGCCCGCAAGGGUCGUUCGAGGAGGAGUUUACGGCCUAUCAGCUAGUUGGUGGUGUAACGGACCACCAAGGCUAUGACGGGUAGCCGAUCUAAGAGGAUGACCGGCCACAAGGGCACUGAGACACGGGCCCU